GCCUGGCAGCCCCGCUUCUUCCAGAUGACCACUCAGGAUCUGCCCCACCGCUCUGUUUAUGGCCCAGCCACCCUCACAAGAACUGCAGACUCAGGCUCCAGCCCAGACCAGCUGGGGGAUCUUGAUGGGCCACAGGAUCCUUCUGAGACAUGAGGUGUAGAAGAAAUUGUCUUACUCAGCCCUGGAAGUCCUACUCA
This 197-nucleotide long non-coding RNA is filed under the name Chinchilla lanigera (long-tailed chinchilla). RNAcentral describes it as "lncRNA (ENSCLAG00000026534.1)". The record is from RNAcentral. Lineage: Eukaryota; Metazoa; Chordata; Mammalia; Rodentia; Chinchillidae.